AUGUCGAUGGCGCAGCAGGGACAGGGGGCGGCGACGUCGCUGCCACCGGGGUUCCGGUUCCACCCGACGGACGAGGAGCUGAUCCUGCACUACCUCCGCAACCGCGCCGCCGCCGCGCCGUGCCCGGUCCCCAUCAUCGCCGACGUCGACAUCUACAAGUUCGACCCAUGGGACCUCCCCUCCCAGGCGGUGUACGGCGACUGCGAGUGGUACUUCUUCAGCCCGCGGGACCGCAAGUACCCCAACGGCAUCCGCCCCAACCGCGCCGCCGGCUCCGGCUACUGGAAGGCCACCGGCACCGACAAGCCCAUCCACGACGCCGCCACCGGCCAGGGCGUCGGCGUCAAGAAGGCGCUCGUCUUCUACACGGGCCGCCCGCCCAAGGGCACCAAGACGGCCUGGAUCAUGCACGAGUACCGCCUCGCCGCCGACCCCCUCGCCGCCGCCGUCAACACCUACAAGCCCAUCAAGUUCCGCAACGUCUCCAUGAGGCUCGAUGACUGGGUGUUGUGCCGGAUCUACAAGAAGACAGGCCUGGCGUCGCCGAUGGUGCCGCCGCUCGCGGACUACGACCACAUGGCCGACCACGACGACCUCUCCAGCGGCGGCACCUUCACCGACGCCACCUGCAGACCCAUGAUAAGGCAGCAGCACCACCAGCAGCCACACGCCGGGAGGCUCCCGACGUUCCCGUCCUUCUCCGAGCUGUUCGACGACUACGCGUUCGGGCAGAACUUGGACACCUACGUCGAGCACGGCGCCACCCACCACCUCGCCGUCCAUCCCUCCCUGAACCAGCUCCUCCCCGUCGGCGACAGCAGGCACGUAGUGGAGCCGUCGUACUACUCGCCCUCGUCGUCGUCGCCGGACGCCAGCGGCGGGAGCGCGGGGAAACGCAAGGCGGCGAGCCCGGAAGAACCCGGCACGCACCAGCCGUCGGCCAAGAAGCUCAACGGGUCGUGCUUCGACGCGCCGCCGCAGUCGGCGAAUGGCUGGCAGGCCGUGGCGUCCGUGCUGGGCGGCCUCAACCAUCACAUGCUUCCUCAGUUCUAA
RNAcentral lists this ribosomal RNA (1053 nucleotides) under Triticum aestivum (bread wheat). RNAcentral describes it as "partial small subunit ribosomal RNA". The record is from RNAcentral. Lineage: Eukaryota; Viridiplantae; Streptophyta; Magnoliopsida; Poales; Poaceae.